RNAcentral lists this ribosomal RNA (253 nucleotides) under uncultured bacterium. RNAcentral's name for it is "partial 16S ribosomal RNA". It matches the Rfam family "Bacterial small subunit ribosomal RNA", at positions 524 to 776 of the family's 1533-position model. The record is from RNAcentral.
UACGUAGGGGGCAAGCGUUGUCCGGAAUCAUUGGGCGUAAAGAGCGUGUAGGCGGUUCAGUAAGUCUGCUGUGAAAGUCCAAGGCUCAACCUUGGGAUGCCGGUGGAUACUGCUGAGCUAGAGUACGGAAGGGGCGAGUGGAAUUCCCGGUGUAGCGGUGAAAUGCGUAGAGAUCGGGAAGAACAUCGGUGGCGAAGGCGCUCUACUGGACCACAACUGACACUCAGGGACGAAAGCUAGGGGAGCGAAUGGG